GGUAAAAUAAAAUAAAUUGAGCGGUAGCCCUGAUUCUCAUGGACAAAAGAGAAUGUAUUUUCUGCUUGUGUAAGUCAGAUGUGAAAUCUGACACCACUUGAAGCUGGGAUGUCCCUCCUACCAUUUACUUCGCUCUUCCGACUGUCCAUCAACUCCUGGCUGAACCCUAUGUCACACCCACUAACAACGCAAAUGCCUGGAAUACUACAACUCAGCAAUUUAUUUUAAAAAAUACCAGAACGCCCACACCCUCCAUCCCCUCUCCUCCUGCCUCCCGCUUCCCUCCCUUCCUCCCUCUUCCAUCCUUCAGCCUCCCUGUGGCGGCUGCAGAAAGAGACGCCUGUUCAGGAGCACCUGGAUUUAUGUAGGGGAACCAGACGCAGCAGGUGUUGUAAACCCAAGGCCCAGUGGGUUGGCAGUCAGUAGAAUGGAGCAGCUUCAGGCGGGGCUCCAAUAGGAAACAGAUGAGCUACUUAGUCCGAGGUGGCCCUCCUUUGCCCUUCCUGUCGUCAAGGCAACACAUCUGACAUACAUUUUCACAUAAUUUGGAGUAAAGUCUCCUUUUUAGAGCUGAUCGUUGUAAAGUAACAACACACUCUGGAGAGGAAGUCUAUUCAAGUUGAAAAUAACAUGUUAGGAUUACGUUCUUCAACCUAGAUAUACUGUUCAGUAGCUCUGAGAUGUGAAAGUGGUGGAUAAUUCCCACCUUUUUACCUGGAUCAAUACUUAAUCUCAGGGAAAUAAAGCCUUAACCAUCUAUGUUGUAUCACUGACCAGAUAAAAGAUGAAACCCUAGUAUAAGGGGGUAAUAGGCCUACAUGCUUAUGACAAGCCUUACAAUGCAUUAUAACUGCAUCAUAAUGCAUCAUAAUGCAUUAUAAUGCAUCCUAAUGCAUUAUAACUGCAUCAUAAUGCAUCAUACCUGCAAGCUUUAGGUAAAGUGUUACAGAUAAAUUCAAUGUUUCUUAUUCUACUCUAGUUUAAACUGAUCCUUUCCAAAAUUGCAUGAUAUAUUGUACCUUUCCCAUAUGGCGUCUGCCUUUUUUACAACAACUCACUAAAACAAACCAGGUGGAGGCAUGCCAUAGAGGAGAGGUCAGUAGUGGAAACACAUGAUGCUGUCUCUCCUCUCUUUGCUCUUAUCAUGUCUAGUAGUUGGUCAAAUGCUACGUGGUAAAACUGACCAUUAAACCUUGCCGUAUCAAUAUUGUAACUUGUACAGUUGAAGUCGGAAGUUUACAUACACCUUAGCCAAAUACAUUUAAACUCAGCUUUUCAC
Molecule: long non-coding RNA, 1279 nt
Organism: Coregonus clupeaformis (lake whitefish)
Lineage: Eukaryota; Metazoa; Chordata; Actinopteri; Salmoniformes; Salmonidae
Exons: 3
Source: RefSeq, a predicted model, not a curated record